Molecule: long non-coding RNA, 1307 nt
Organism: Armigeres subalbatus
Lineage: Eukaryota; Metazoa; Arthropoda; Insecta; Diptera; Culicidae
Exons: 3
Source: RefSeq, a predicted model, not a curated record
CCUCAACACAGUACUUCUCGCGUUGUGUGCUCAAACCGUAUGAGCAAUAGAACAAACUCAUCGGGAGUUGACGAUUCGUCGCGGUUUAACUCAGAGGUCUUUUUAGCCACCGCAAUUGUAAAGGUGGAAGAUAAUGAUAAAAAUAUACAUUUCGCGCGUGUAGUCUUAGAUAAUUGCUCUCAGUGUAACUUCAUUUCGGAGGCGUUAGCCUCAAAGCUUCGACUGAGCAGAGUGAAGACCAAUAUGGAAGUGGUCGGCAUUGGACCUGGAAAGAGCACCGUUUUCGGGUACGUCGUUUCGGGCAUGUAUACAGGAUCCGGAGGAAACCCGUCUUUGUGUAUCAUCAGCAAUAGUAGUAGAUUAGAUGAGAGUAUUGUCACCGGAUGACAGAUGGUGUGAAGAACACUUCAAUCGCACGGUGGCGCGGCGUGACGACGGUCGGUAUGUGGUGCGGUUGCCAAUACGUGAAGAUCGGAGAGAAUUCCUUGGUGACUCAUACCAGCUAGCACAACGUCGGUUUCUAGCAGCUGAGAGGCGAUUCGGGUACAAUCAACAGCUGCGCGACCAGUACUCACGAUUCAUGGAUGAAUACGCGAUGCUCGGACACAUGGAACCCGGUAUACGAACAGGAAAUGAGACGCGCCGUCCACGAUUUUUGGAAACGAUGGACACGGGAUUACGUUCAUCAUUUGCAUCAACGACUGGCACAAAGAGGAGCGCAACUACCGCGUCGGCGAGUUAGUUUUGCUGAAACAAGAGAACAUGCCACCACUCCAAUGGAAUCUCGGAAGAAUUAUCGCCACGCAUCAGGCAGCGACGGUCGGUGCAGAGUCGUCAACGUGCAGACGGCCAGGGGAGUGUACAGACGAGCAAUAACAGAAGUUUGCGUACUUCCUGUAGACGUGGACCCCAUGUCAUCAAGAGUCGAUACAAUAGAAGAUGCAGUGCAAAGCGCGACAGGGCAACCUCCCCAGCCAAGUCCAACGGUCUGACAGAAUCUCGGUUCAAAGGAGCGGUUGAAGAAACUAGCGAUUAGUCUAAUAGGUCAAUGGUCAAUAAUAGUCCAAUGGUUCAACGGGGGGAGUAUGUUUGAUCAUUUUCAUUCACGUUGGGAAACCCUCUUAUAACGCCCUAUUUGAACCACUACAAAUAACCAAGACUGCGUCAAAACGUUUCCGGUAGAAUUGCAAGUAGUUUAGUGACAUUCUAUAUGAACUAUUAUAUCUAAAAAUAUUGAAGUAGUAUUAGUUUUAAGUUGCCAGGUCAAGACGAAUUUAGACCGAAAUAAAUCGACACUUGGAUUUCGA